GGGUCUGUAGCUCAGCGGAUGAGAGCAUCUGUUUCCGGUACAGAAGGUCGAGAGUUCGAAUCUCUUCAGGCCCACCA
Molecule: transfer RNA, 77 nt
Filed under: Alloscardovia macacae
Lineage: Bacteria; Bacillati; Actinomycetota; Actinomycetes; Bifidobacteriales; Bifidobacteriaceae
Description: tRNA-Arg
Rfam family: tRNA
About the family: Transfer RNA (tRNA) molecules are approximately 80 nucleotides in length.
Source: RNAcentral